UUCUAUUAACAUAAUUAAUAGUAAAAUCUGCUCAAUGAUUUAAAUAGCCGCAAUUAGUGCUAAGGUAGCAUAAUCAUUCGUCUUCUAAAUAAAGACUAGUACAAACGAUUUAACAUUUCAAUAGAUUUUUUUAAUAUAGCAUUUAAAUUAUUUUUAAUAUAAAAAAAUAUUAAUAUAAAAGAAAGACGAUAAGACCCUAUUGAACUUAACUGAAGUUAAACUGGGGCAGUUAAUUAAUUAUUACUUUAAUUAAAUAAUUUCAUAAACUGAUCUAGUAUAACUAACUAUUUAAUUAAGUUACCAUAGGGAUAACAGUGUAAUAGAUAUUAUAAGGUCAUAUAUUAAUUAAAGAUUACAACCUCGAUGUUGAAUAAUUACCUAAUUUUAGCGCAAGAGCUAAUACAGGAAGUCUGUUCGACUUUUAAAAAAUUACA
RNAcentral lists this ribosomal RNA (434 nucleotides) under Carteronius sp. MR1007-MR1008. Its description in RNAcentral is "partial 16S ribosomal RNA". The record is from RNAcentral. Lineage: Eukaryota; Metazoa; Arthropoda; Arachnida; Araneae; Clubionidae.